Acanthosepion pharaonis is the source of this 96-nucleotide non-coding RNA. The record is from the annotation of a GenBank genome assembly. Lineage: Eukaryota; Metazoa; Mollusca; Cephalopoda; Sepiida; Sepiidae.
CAAGUACCGAUUUUCGUCUGAUCACCGAUGUUAAGCAACGUUGAACCUCGUCAGUACCUAGGUGGGUGACCGCUUGGGAAUACCAGGUGCUGUAAG